Molecule: ribosomal RNA, 156 nt
Filed under: Clavicipitaceae sp. PrubF01
Lineage: Eukaryota; Fungi; Ascomycota; Sordariomycetes; Hypocreales; Clavicipitaceae
Description: 5.8S ribosomal RNA
Rfam family: 5.8S ribosomal RNA (bases 1-124)
About the family: 5.8S ribosomal RNA (5.8S rRNA) is a component of the large subunit of the eukaryotic ribosome. It is transcribed by RNA polymerase I as part of the 45S precursor that also contains 18S and 28S rRNA. Functionally, it is thought that 5.8S rRNA may be involved in ribosome translocation.
Source: RNAcentral
CAUCGAUGAAGAACGCAGCGAAAUGCGAUAAGUAAUGUGAAUUGCAGAAUUCAGUGAAUCAUCGAAUCUUUGAACGCACAUUGCGCCCGCCAGUAUUCUGGCGGGCAUGCCUGUUCGAGCGUCAUUUCAACCCUCAAGCCCUUGCUUGGUGUUGGG